AGUGUCUCCCUUUUAUAAACCCGGUUAUUCCUGGGACGGAACCGGGUUGAGUUUGGCUGCUGGCUCAGUGUAGCUGUAUUAUCGUCACUAUUGGUGUGAGGCUCCUUGAUGGGGUUGUAAACCGCUUCGCUUGUGCUGGUAUCUGCACCAGCCCCUCCUUUCCCUGUCACGCUGCUGUUUUGUCUCAACUAUUGUUUUAACUGUAAACUGCUUAACCAGAUAUAGCUACAGGAACUCACUCCAAGCUCUGAACGCCGCUACGUGCCUUCCAGCACCAGGACCUGUUGCCCAAUUGGGUGUCUGGCAGGGCUGUAUUUGAGUGAUUGAUGCCACAGAUGACAGAUCUUUUGGACUGAUUGUGCUCCUUAAUGUGUGUGGAGAUUGGGGUCUAUGUUUAUGGGUUUUGUUAAAUUUAUGAUUAAGUGAUUCUUUUGGUUAAUUUAUAUUUCUUAAAGUUUUGAUUUUCAUUUUUGCUGAAAUUUUGAUUAGUUGAACUUUGGUUCUUUUUGUUAGGCUCUAGGCAGCUACUAAGUCCCCUUUGCUGCCUAGAAUUGCCUUAGAUUGAAGUUGCUUUUGUUUUCAUUUAUUUUUGGUUUAUUGAUUUAUUUCCCUCCCCAAUAAUUGACUGUUCACUCUCCCACAGUGCUGAGUGCCGAAAGUGGUGGUGUCGGUGUCCUCGGUGGUGGUCUCUUCUUGUGUGCUGUGUUUUCCCUUGGUUGAUUAUUUUGGGUUUUUCAUCACCGUGUGUGUAUGUGUGUGUGUGUGUGUGAGUGUUCACGUGUGAUUGGGGAAUCCUUCCCUGAGAUCCCACACCCCUUGACCCUACCUCGCCACUGGUAAGGCCUCAGCACUCAUUUCCCCUAUUUUAGGAUGUAUUUUAGUAAUUGUAUGAAUAAAAUUGUCUUUUAACGGAA
This is a long non-coding RNA of Carassius gibelio (silver crucian carp), 914 nucleotides long. RefSeq lists it as uncharacterized. NCBI's taxonomy places the organism in Eukaryota, Metazoa, Chordata, Actinopteri, Cypriniformes, Cyprinidae. The record is from RefSeq and is a predicted model, not a curated record. The transcript has 2 exons.